GACGAACGCUGGCGGCGUGCUUAACACAUGCCAGUCGAACGAUGAAGAAAAGAAUCGCAGCUUCGGCAGAAAUUCAUUUCGGAUUAGUGGCAGACGGGUGAGUAACGCGUGAGCAACCUACCUCUUACAAAGGGAUAGCCUCGGGAAACCGGGAUUAAUACCAUAUAACAUUGCGACGAAGCAUUUCGAUGCAAUCAAAGCUACGGCGGUAAGAGAUGGGCUCGCGUCCCAUUAACCGGAUGGUGAGGUAACGGCUCACCAUAGUGACGAUGGGUAACCGGCCUGAGAGGGUGAACGGUCACACUGGAACUGAGACACGGUCCAGACUCCUACGGGAGGCAGCAGUGGGGAAUAUUGCACAAUGGAGGGAACUCUGAUGCAGCGACGCCGCGUGAGUGAUGAAGGAAUUCGUUUCGUAAAACUCUGUUCUAUGGGAAGAAAAGGACUGUACCAUAGGAGAAAGCUCCGGCUAAAUACGUG
This 480-nucleotide ribosomal RNA is filed under the name uncultured bacterium. Its description in RNAcentral is "partial 16S ribosomal RNA". It matches the Rfam family "Bacterial small subunit ribosomal RNA", at positions 28 to 507 of the family's 1533-position model. The record is from RNAcentral.